CCGCACAACUUCUGUUGACUGGCUGUUUCGCGGAUAUCCAUAUUGUUCCGUAUUCUAAUGGAGCAAGGUCGACCCUUUGGUUUGCGACGCAAUUCUCUAUCUAGUAACAGCUUAAAAAGAGCAAGAGAUACGGGCGGCCACCUACGUUCAUCUGGGACCGGUGGGAAAACAUGUCUCCAUACGUUGUACAUGUUUUCUAAUUUGUACACUUCGUCUACAUAACUCA
Molecule: long non-coding RNA, 226 nt
Filed under: Gossypium barbadense (sea-island cotton)
Lineage: Eukaryota; Viridiplantae; Streptophyta; Magnoliopsida; Malvales; Malvaceae
Description: long non-coding RNA (GBAR_LNC019349)
Source: RNAcentral